UAACAUGGUAGGAGCACAGGUUUUUGGGAAUAUGUGGAAACAGACUCUGUUUAGCAACCAUAACCAUUUUGACUUCAACUGUGAAGAUAAUGACAGACCGUAAAGGCCACACAUUACCCAUGUGAACUAUCGUAUGCUGCGUGUCAUAAGUAUGACGUUGACCUCCUGAACUCUCGGUUCUGUGUUGUUUGCGUUGCAGAGAAUAAGGCAGUUGGAAGACAUGAUUGAGAUGCAAAAGAGACAAGUAAAGGAAAUAGAAGAAAAGUUUUUGUUCCUCUUCUUGUUUUUCUCUCUAGCUUUUAUUCUUUGGCCUUAAUGACACUGACAUGGACCGACAACAGGUGCUAAGGUGCUCAGGUGGAGAGUGAGGAAGAGAAACACAACAUUUUUUUUUUUUUUUUCAUGCAUUUAUAGAUGGUUCACAAACCUUAUAUGGCCUUUUUGAUACACGUGCACUUUUGUGGAAAACAUUUACCUGGAAUGCAAAACAAAACCAGGACUUUGAAAAGUGAACAAAUAUCAGAGACAUGUAAAAGAGGUAUAUCAGAGAUUUUUUUUAUUUUUUAUAACGGAAAUGUCCCCUACCAUUUUUGGAAGUGGAACAUUUAGCCAAACUCUAAUGUGAGUUCUAAAAAGCAAGAACAUUGUAACUGGAACUCUGAAGCAGGUCAAUAAAGGAACAGAGCAACUGAGAUGGAGACAGUGCCUCAGAUGGAUUUAGAGCCAGACAACGAAAGAGUGCAAUCGUAGAGGAGGAGGAAGGAGGAGGAAGGAGAAAGAGUUGAUUCAAAAAAGCAGGACGAUUUCCAAACAGACGAGCCAAGUCCUGGGCAUUCCCAGAAAGCUCAGUGCAGGAGGGUCUCCAUGGAAACAGCUGGCGAAACGGCUGUCAUGGCCAAAGUUCAAUGAGCAAGAAGUGAAAGCUUUGUACUCCGGAGUAGAGCGACACCAGAGGACUACGGGGACAGAAUGUGUCACCGGUCUGUGAAACACAAAGAAUCCUCAAUAGCUGUGACCUCCAGGUUUUGACCCAUAGAGUGAACCGUCUAGAGCACAGCCUGAGAGACAACGUCAGCUCCUUUACUGAGUCUGAGAGCUUGCUGCACAACAGAGAGUUGGAGGUGCCAGAGCAGAGCCUGCUACAGAAGGUGGAGGACCUCACAGCACACUCAGUCCUCCACUGUCCCAGCAUGCAGCGACGCCAGAGGCUGGACGAGCGGCUCCACGCGCUCAGGGAGGAGGUGCGCUUCAUGGUGAGUAGAGACUGUACUGAGCUUUACAUUAGCUUCAAUGAGGCUUAUAGAGUGAGAAGUACUCAAAUGUACAUGUCAUGUAAGCUGUACUGUAAAUUGUAGUAUAAGCCUGUAAUUAUUGUGUAAGUGUAAUUAUUGUGUAAGUGUAUUGUGAGUGUGGUUUAAAUCUAUCGUUUCUCAGGUGUAGUGCUAUUGUGACUGUAGUCUCCCUCUCUGUUGCAUUAUAUGAGAUGUGUAUGACAUUACUCAGAUGUGAGGAGUAACUGUGUCAUAGUUCUAUCAUGACCGGUCCUUCCCAGUACCAGGAGAAGGAGCAUAGGAAUCGUGUGUGUGGAGGGAGAGGCUACAGUGCUGCCAGGCCCAGC
Molecule: long non-coding RNA, 1618 nt
Filed under: Oncorhynchus kisutch (coho salmon)
Lineage: Eukaryota; Metazoa; Chordata; Actinopteri; Salmoniformes; Salmonidae
Description: lncRNA (ENSOKIG00005015072.1)
Source: RNAcentral